RNAcentral lists this ribosomal RNA (848 nucleotides) under uncultured eukaryote. Its description in RNAcentral is "SSU rRNA". It matches the Rfam family "Eukaryotic small subunit ribosomal RNA", at positions 584 to 1457 of the family's 1831-position model. The record is from RNAcentral.
UCCAGCUCCAAUAGCGUAUAUUAAAGUUGUUGCGGUAAAAAAGCUCGUAGUUGGAUUUCUGUUGAAGACGUCCGGUCCAUACCACGUAUGCGCAUCUGGCUCGGCUUCGGCAUCCUCUCGAAAGACGUUUCUGCGCUUGAUUGCGUGGAGCGGAUCUCGGGACUUUUACUUUGAGGAAAUUAGAGUGUUCACGGCAGGCUAUCGCCAGAAUACAUUAGCAUGGAAUAAUACUAUAGGAUCUCGGUUCUAUUUUGUUGGUUUCUAGAAUUGAGAUAAUGAUUAAUAGGGACAAUUGGGGGCAUUCGUAUCAACACGUUAGAGGUGAAAUUCUUGGAUCGUGUUGCGACGAACUACUGCGAAAGCAUUUGCCAAGGAUGUUUUCAUUGAUCAAGAACGAAAGUAAGGGGAUCGAAGACGAUUAGAUACCGUCGUAGUCUUUACCAUAAACUAUGCCAACUAGAGAUGGGACAUCGUUCACUUAAGACUUGUUCCGCACCUUAUGAGAUAUCAAAGUCUUUGGGUUCCGGGGGGAGUAUGGUCGCAAGUCUGAAACUUAAAGGAAUUGACGGAAGGGCACCACCAGGAGUGGAGCCUGCGGCUUAAUUUGACUCAACACGGGGAAACUCACCGGGUCCAGACAUAAUAAGGAUUGACAGAUUGAUAGCUCUUUCUUGAUUUUAUGGGUGGUGGUGCAUGGCCGUUCUUAGUUCGUGGAGUGAUUUGUCUGCUUAAUUGCGUUAACGAACGAGACCUUAACCUGCUAAAUAGGAGCGCCUAUCUCCGGAUAAGCGCCUUUCUUCUUAGAGGGACUUUAUGCGUUUCAGCAUGAGGAAGUUUGAGGCUAAAAC